Molecule: small nucleolar RNA, 75 nt
Filed under: Eutrema salsugineum
Lineage: Eukaryota; Viridiplantae; Streptophyta; Magnoliopsida; Brassicales; Brassicaceae
Description: Plant small nucleolar RNA R71
Rfam family: Plant small nucleolar RNA R71
About the family: R71 is a member of the C/D box family of snoRNAs containing the C (UGAUGA) and D (CUGA) box motifs. Multiple nearly identical copies of this snoRNA have been identified in Arabidopsis, and it is thought to function as a 2'-O-ribose methylation guide for 18S ribosomal RNA.
Source: Rfam by way of RNAcentral
AAUCCAUGGUGGGGGCAAUCACUUUCAUACUCCUUAAAACGUUCCCAGGCAUCAUAGAAAGUGAUAACUUAGAGU